Molecule: ribosomal RNA, 253 nt
Filed under: uncultured bacterium
Lineage: Bacteria
Description: partial 16S ribosomal RNA
Rfam family: Bacterial small subunit ribosomal RNA
Source: RNAcentral
CACGUAGGGGACGAGCGUUGUCCGGAAUCAUUGGGCGUAAAGCGCGCGUAGGCGGCUCGGUAAGUCGGCUGUGAAAUCCCGGGGCUCAACCCCGGGCCUGCAUCCGAUACUCCCGGGCUGGAGGCAGGUAGGGGAGAUCGGAAUUCCUGGUGUAGCGGUGAAAUGCGCAGAUAUCAGGAGGAACACCGGUGGCGAAGGCGGAUCUCUGGGCCGUGCCUGACGCUGAGGCGCGAAAGCUAGGGGAGCGAACAGG